RNAcentral lists this ribosomal RNA (429 nucleotides) under uncultured bacterium. RNAcentral describes it as "bacterial SSU rRNA". It matches the Rfam family "Bacterial small subunit ribosomal RNA", at positions 355 to 775 of the family's 1533-position model. The record is from RNAcentral.
UGGGGGAUAUUGCGCAAUGGGCGAAAGCCUGACGCAGCGACGCCGCGUGGGUGAUGAAGGCCUUCGGGUCGUAAAGCCCUGUCGAGGGGAACGAAACGGUCUCGACCCAAUACGUCGAGAUCCUGACGGUACCCCUAAAGGAAGCACCGGCUAACUCCGUGCCAGCAGCCGCGGUAAUACGGAGGGUGCAAGCGUUGUUCGGAAUCACUGGGCGUAAAGGGCGUGUAGGCGGUCCGCUAAGUCUGAUGUGAAAGCCCGGGGCUCACCCCCGGAAGGGCAUUGGAAACUGGCGGACUCGAGUCCCGGAGAGGAAGGUGGAAUUCCUGGUGUAGCGGUGAAAUGCGUAGAUAUCAGGAGGAAUACCGGUGGCGAAGGCGGCCUUCUGGACGGUGACUGACGCUGAGACGCGAAAGCGUGGGGAGCAAACAG